GGGUCAGUAGUGCAGUGGGUUAGAGCAUGCGCUCUCGGAUAGAAUGAGAUGCGUGUUCAAGUCCCGUCUGACACG
Non-coding RNA from Parelaphostrongylus tenuis, 75 nucleotides. NCBI's taxonomy places the organism in Eukaryota, Metazoa, Nematoda, Chromadorea, Rhabditida, Metastrongylidae. The record is from the annotation of a GenBank genome assembly.